Molecule: ribosomal RNA, 488 nt
Filed under: Halorubrum ezzemoulense
Lineage: Archaea; Methanobacteriati; Methanobacteriota; Halobacteria; Halobacteriales; Haloferacaceae
Description: bacterial SSU rRNA
Rfam family: Archaeal small subunit ribosomal RNA
Source: RNAcentral
AACACGUGGCCAAACUACCCUUCGGAACACAAUACCCUCGGGAAACUGAGGCUAAUAGUGUAUACCAUACCACCACUGGAAUGAGUGGUACGCCAAACGCUCCGGCGCCGAAGGAUGUGGCUGCGGCCGAUUAGGUAGACGGUGGGGUAACGGCCCACCGUGCCAAUAAUCGGUAUGGGUCAUGAGAGUGAGAACCCAGAGACGGAAUCUGAGACAAGAUUCCGGGCCCUACGGGGCGCAGCAGGCGCGAAACCUUUACACUGCACGACAGUGCGAUAGGGGGAUCCCAAGUGCACAGGCAUAGCGCCUGUGCUUUUCGGUACCCUAAGGCGGUACCAGAAUAAGGGCUGGGCAAGACCGGUGCCAGCCGCCGCGGUAAUACCGGCAGCCCAAGUGAUGGCCGAUCUUAUUGGGCCUAAAGCGUCCGUAGCUGGCCGCGCAAGUCCAUCGGGAAAUCCACCUGCUCAACAGGUGGGCGCCCGGUAGAA